UUUUAUCCUACAAGUGGAUGAUUUUUUUUAUCAUUAAUGCUAAGGAAAUAGCAGAUGAUGAGAGUUUAUUUUGCGAUGACAAGAAGCUCGUGUAUUUGCGAGCGGUGUUUAUCUUAUAGUAUAGUACUUCCAUGACUCUGAUGCUUUUUUUUAGUACUUAAGUUUUAUAUCUUAUAAAACUCUGGUUUUUUUUUGUUGGUAUUAUUUUGCAUUUUUUUAUAUAUUACAGGUGGAUGAUUUUUUUAUUUUAAGCAAGUAGCAAGUGAUGAGAGUUAUUUUGUGAUAAGGAGAAGCUCGUGUAUUUGCGAGCGAUGUUUAUCCUAAUACUUCCAUGACUCUGAU
Molecule: long non-coding RNA, 342 nt
Filed under: Medicago truncatula (barrel medic)
Lineage: Eukaryota; Viridiplantae; Streptophyta; Magnoliopsida; Fabales; Fabaceae
Description: lncRNA gene19760
Source: RNAcentral